Long non-coding RNA from Vicia villosa (hairy vetch), 351 nucleotides. RefSeq lists it as uncharacterized. The record is from RefSeq and is a predicted model, not a curated record. The transcript has 3 exons. Lineage: Eukaryota; Viridiplantae; Streptophyta; Magnoliopsida; Fabales; Fabaceae.
CAUAAAUGGUUUAAGUAAGGCUAGAAUGGUUCUACUUGAAGUGCUUAAUGAAAAGAGCUCAACAAAAGAUGCACCAUUCAUUAAAAAGGGUUUAAAUAUUGUUGGUUAGCUAAGAGAAUGUGGUUUGAUAAUAUUGAUGGACAUUGAUAAAGUUUCUAAGAGCUCAAAUUAAUUGGAAAAUGGACCAUCAUUUAUAGUAGUGUGGGAAGAUGCAUUGGCCUAUUUCCUAAUUGCUACUGUCCAUCGGAGCAUAAUAAUAAAAAAUAUUUUAUGUGUGAGUCUAAGUGUGUAUUGUGUUUAGCUUAAAGAUAGCUUUAACCUGUUUAAAGAGUUUUUUCUGAUAUGUGUUCA